UCAGGUGCCUAUAUCGGCGGUGUCCACCUCUUCCCAUUCCGAACAGAGAAGUUAAGCCCGCCAGAGCCGAUGGUACUGCCGUAAAAGGUGGGAGAGUAGGUCGGUGCCAAAU
Molecule: ribosomal RNA, 112 nt
Filed under: Janthinobacterium lividum
Lineage: Bacteria; Pseudomonadati; Pseudomonadota; Betaproteobacteria; Burkholderiales; Oxalobacteraceae
Also listed under: 1 other name
Source: RNAcentral